GUAGGGAAUCUUCGGCAAUGGACGGAAGCCUGACCGAGCAACGCCGCGUGAGUGAAGAAGGUUUUCGGAUCGUAAAGCUCUGUUGUAAGAGAAGAACGAGUGUGAGAGUGGAAAGUUCACACUGUGACGGUAUCUUACCAGAAAGGGACGGCUAACUACGUGCCAGCAGCCGCGGUAAUACGUAGGUCCCGAGCGUUGUCCGGAUUUAUUGGGCGUAAAGCGAGCGCAGGCGGUUAGAUAAGUCUGAAGUUAAAGGCUGUGGCUUAACCAUAGUAGGCUUUGGAAACUGUUUAACUUGAGUGCAAGAGGGGAGAGUGGAAUUCCAUGUGUAGCGGUGAAAUGCGUAGAUAUAUGGAGGAACACCGGUGGCGAAAGCGGCUCUCUGGCUUGUAACUGACGCUGAGGCUCGAAAGCGUGGGGAGCAAACAGGAUUAGAUACCCUGGUAGUCCACGCUGUAAACGAUGAGUGCUAGGUGUUAGACCCUUUCCGGGGUUUAGUGCCGUAGCUAACGCAUUAAGCACUCCGCCUGGGGAGUACGACCGCAAGGUUG
Molecule: ribosomal RNA, 551 nt
Filed under: uncultured bacterium
Lineage: Bacteria
Description: bacterial SSU rRNA
Rfam family: Bacterial small subunit ribosomal RNA
Source: RNAcentral